UUGGAACAAGGGCAAAUCCGUACGAAAGUCGGAGACGCAAAGCCACGGGCCUACUUCAUCCGGGAGGGAUGUCAGGGCAGCCGGGCCGCUCAA
Non-coding RNA from Paenibacillus riograndensis SBR5, 93 nucleotides. Lineage: Bacteria; Bacillati; Bacillota; Bacilli; Caryophanales; Paenibacillaceae. The record is from Rfam.